Molecule: transfer RNA, 76 nt
Filed under: Candidatus Bathyarchaeota archaeon
Lineage: Archaea; Thermoproteati; Candidatus Bathyarchaeota
Also listed under: 1 other name
Description: tRNA-Met
Rfam family: tRNA
About the family: Transfer RNA (tRNA) molecules are approximately 80 nucleotides in length. Their secondary structure includes four short double-helical elements and three loops (D, anti-codon, and T loops).
Source: RNAcentral
AGCGGGGUAGGGUAGCCAGGUCUAACCCGCAGGGCUCAUAACCCUGAGAUCGGUCGUUCAAAUCGACCCCCCGCUA